Molecule: ribosomal RNA, 384 nt
Filed under: Pyramimonas sp.
Lineage: Eukaryota; Viridiplantae; Chlorophyta; Pyramimonadophyceae; Pyramimonadales; Pyramimonadaceae
Also listed under: 1 other name
Description: partial small subunit ribosomal RNA
Rfam family: Eukaryotic small subunit ribosomal RNA
Source: RNAcentral
AGCUCCAAUAGCGUAUAUUUAAGUUGUUGCAGUUAAAAAGCUCGUAGUUGGAUUUCGGAUGUGAACGACCGGUCCGCCGUUGCGGUGUGCACUGGACGUUUGUAUCUUGUUGUCGGGGACGCGCACCUUGCCUUAAGUGGUCGGGACGCGGAGUCGGCGCUGUUACUUUGAAAAAAUUAGAGUGUUCAAAGCAGGCAACCGCUCUGAAUACAUUAGCAUGGAAUAACGCUAUAGGACUCUGGUCUUAUUGUGUUGGUCUUCGAGACCGGAGUAAUGAUUAAGAGGGACAGUUGGGGGCAUUCGUAUUUCAUUGUCAGAGGUGAAAUUCUUGGAUUUAUGAAAGACGAACUUCUGCGAAAGCAUUUGCCAAGGAUGUUUUCAUUA